This 1310-nucleotide ribosomal RNA is filed under the name Morone chrysops (white bass). RNAcentral's name for it is "partial 16S ribosomal RNA". It matches the Rfam family "Bacterial large subunit ribosomal RNA", at positions 580 to 2574 of the family's 2925-position model. The record is from RNAcentral. Lineage: Eukaryota; Metazoa; Chordata; Actinopteri; Moronidae.
AAGCAGAGUUUUCUCCUCGUACCUUUUGCAUCAUGAUUUAGUUAGUAAAAUUCAAGCAAAGAGCACUUUAGUUUGACACCCCGAAACUAGGUGAGCUACUCCAAGGCAGCCUGAUUUAUAGGGCACACCCGUCUCUGUGGCAAAAGAGUGGGAAGACCUUCGAGUAGGAGUGAUAGACCUAUCGAACCUAGUUAUAGCUGGUUGCCUGGGAACUGGAUAGGAGUUCAGCCUCUCGGAUUCUUCCGUCAACACAUAAUAUUCAAGGGCCCCCCCUUCAACCGACACAACAGAAGCCGUGAGAGUUAGUCAAAGGGGGUACAGCCCCUUUGACACAAGACACAACUUUCUAAGGAGGGUAAUGAUCACAUAAUUCAAGGCAUAGUAUUCUGGUGGGCCUAAAAGCAGCCAUCCUUAAAGAAUGCGUUAAAGCUCAGACAUGCUUACCCCUUAUAUUCUGAUAUCCCCAUCACAACCCCCUAAAUUUACCAGGCCUUCCUAUGCGAACAUAGGAGAGUUUAUGCUAAAAUGAGUAAUAAGAGGGCACACUUCCAACCCUCUCUCCCGCACACGUGUAACUCGGAACGGACCCCCCACCGAGCCUUAACGACCCCAAUAAAAGAGGGAACUGAACUAUGAAUAAAAAACUAGAAAACCGUUCAAAAACCAUCGUUAACCCCACACUGGAGUGCUUUCAGAGAAAGGCUAAAAGAGAAAGAAGGAACUCGGCAAACACAAGCCUCGCCUGUUUACCAAAAACAUCGCCUCUUGCAAACUUAUGAAUAAGAGGUCCCGCCUGCCCUGUGACUAUAUGUUUAACGGCCGCGGUAUCUUAACCGUGCGAAGGUAGCGCAAUCACUUGUCUUUUAAAUGGAGACCUGUAUGAAUGGCAUAACGAGGGCUUAACUGUCUCCUUUCUCAAGUCAAUGAAAUUGAUCUCCCCGUGCAGAAGCGGGGAUUAACACAUAAGACGAGAAGACCCUAUGGAGCUUUAGACAUAAGAUAGAUUACCUUAAUCAACCCAGAACAAAGGGCGGAACCAGAGGUAAACCUUUCCAACGUCUUUGGUUGGGGCGACCGUGGGGUAAAACAAAACCCCCAUGUGGAAUAGGAGCACCUCUCCUUCAACCUAGAGCUCCCGCUCUAAGGAACAGAAUUUCUGACCAAUUAAUGAUCCGGCAAUGCCGAUCAACGGACCGAGUUACCCUAGGGAUAACAGCGCAAUCCCCUUUUAGAGCCCAUAUCGACAAGGGGGUUUACGACCUCGAUGUUGGAUCAGGACAUCCUAAUGGUGCAGCCGCUAUUAAGGGUUC